This 465-nucleotide ribosomal RNA is filed under the name uncultured bacterium. RNAcentral's name for it is "partial 16S ribosomal RNA". It matches the Rfam family "Bacterial small subunit ribosomal RNA", at positions 339 to 795 of the family's 1533-position model. The record is from RNAcentral.
CUACGGGGUGCUGCAGUGGGGAAUAUUGCGCAAUGGGCGAAAGCCUGACGCAGCAACGCCGUGUGAGGGAUGAAGGCUUUCGGGUCGUAAACCUCUGUCAGAAGGGAAGAACGGGUAUUGGUCUAAUAGGCCUUUAUUUUGACGGUACCUUCAGAGGAAGCACCGGCUAACUCCGUGCCAGCAGCCGCGGUAAUACGGAGGGUGCAAGCGUUAUUCGGAAUUACUGGGCGUAAAGCGCACGUAGGCCGCUUUGUAAGUCAGGGGUGAAAUCCCACGGCUCAACCGUGGAACUGCCUUUGAAACUGCAGAGCUUGAAUCCUGGAGAGGGUGGCGGAAUUCCUGGUGUAGGAGUGAAAUCCGUAGAUAUCAGGAGGAACACCGGUGGCGAAGGCGGCCACCUGGACAGGUAUUGACGCUGAGGUGCGAAAGUGUGGGGAGCAAACAGGAUUAGAUACCCGCGUAGUC